GUAUUUGUGGAGUCAAUGACCCCCUGUCACCUUUGCAUUUGGCCCCAGAACUUGGGUAUCUGUGUUCCAGCCCCCCUCUCUUUCUCAUUGUCUCCCUCAUUUAUCUUACCAAAUCCCUUCUUGUGAAGUGAUAUAUAUCCUCACUGAUGAACCCUUAAAGAAUACUUUAUAAAUGAAUUAGUCGCAUGAUUGCAUUGCUGGAAUUGUGGAUAAAAGUUAUAAAGAGAUGAGUAUUUAUUUAGAGUAGCUUUAUCAAUAAUGUGUAUAACUGUGGAAAGACUACUAUUAAAUAGUUGUUGUGAGAUUCACCAGAAUGUAGAUGUACUACAGCACAGAUGCUUCGCACUAGACAGAAACGUCGAAAGAUUCAAGAUCAACGGGUUAUUUUUCUCGCGUUACAUUCUUGUGCCAAUCAUCAUCAAAUGGAUUUGACUUUGAAGAGCGUUUGUUAAAUGGCUUUUAAAAAACCAAAUGCUGUUCUCAUCACUUGUUAAUACAUAUUCUAUUUGUGGUCAGAAUUGUCAUGUCACGCCCUAUAACUAAAGCAAUGUUUGGGCUGAAAAUGAUGUGUUAAUAAUUUGACAACGAGCAUAUUUAUGCUUAUUAUUAUGUAGCUGCUGCAAAUCUAGCGAUGCUAUACAAUAAUAAUGAUGGUCUUGUGUUUCAUCAACUGAAAUCUAAAAGUGCAAUGCAGUGAAUAGGACAACGUGUUAGAUUGUGUGCAUCGUGACACACUCAGUCAUCUAGAAAUGCAACUUUACAAGUCAGUAGAAAUGCACUGUAACUGUGUUGGAAGACCUAGUCCAAUACCUGUUGAGGUAAAACUGCAAUGCGGUUCACUCUGGUCUUACAUGCUGUUUUUGUCUUUGUCGUUUACUUCAUUUUGGUAGCACAAUAGGUACAUGUCCAACAUAAAUGUGAAAUAAUGUGUAAUACUGUACGUGUACACUUCCAAUGUAUAGUUUCCCUGUAAGUCCCACUGUUGUACACAACUGUCCUGUGUGACAAAGAUUCUUGUUUCCUAUAAUCACAGUCAUCAACGUAUAUCCAUGUUUUGUAUUAAAGCUUUUAUUAAUUUCUUAUAUUGGGGAAAUUAAAUACAUUUGACCUCUA
This 1113-nucleotide long non-coding RNA is filed under the name Salmo salar (Atlantic salmon). RNAcentral describes it as "lncRNA (ENSSSAG00000121002.1)". The record is from RNAcentral. Lineage: Eukaryota; Metazoa; Chordata; Actinopteri; Salmoniformes; Salmonidae.